GCCGCCAUCGUCUAUCGGUUAGGACAAUGGGCCUUCAAUCCGUAAAGUGGGGUUCAACUCCCCAUGGCGGCACCA
This 75-nucleotide transfer RNA is filed under the name candidate division WWE3 bacterium CG_4_10_14_0_2_um_filter_42_7. RNAcentral describes it as "tRNA-Glu". It matches the Rfam family "tRNA". From Rfam's summary of the family: Transfer RNA (tRNA) molecules are approximately 80 nucleotides in length. Their secondary structure includes four short double-helical elements and three loops (D, anti-codon, and T loops). Further hydrogen bonds mediate the characteristic L-shaped molecular structure. tRNAs have two regions of fundamental functional importance: the anti-codon, which is responsible for specific mRNA codon recognition, and the 3' end, to which the tRNAs corresponding amino acid is attached (by aminoacyl-tRNA synthetases). tRNAs cope with the degeneracy of the genetic code in two manners: having more than one tRNA (with a specific anti-codon) for a particular amino acid; and 'wobble' base-pairing, i.e. permitting non-standard base-pairing at the 3rd anti-codon position. The record is from RNAcentral. RNAcentral also lists the same sequence under 1 other name. Lineage: Bacteria; candidate division WWE3.